Molecule: ribosomal RNA, 153 nt
Filed under: uncultured bacterium
Lineage: Bacteria
Description: partial 16S ribosomal RNA
Source: RNAcentral
GCACGUAGUUAGCCGGUGCUUAUUCUGAGGGUACCGUCAUUGCCCACGCAUGGACAUUUUCUUCCCCUACUAAAGCAGUUUACAACGCAGAGCGCCUUCCUCCUGCACGCGGCAUGGCUGGUCAGUCUUCCGACCAUUGCCCAAUAUUCCCUA